Molecule: ribosomal RNA, 234 nt
Filed under: uncultured bacterium
Lineage: Bacteria
Description: partial 16S ribosomal RNA
Rfam family: Bacterial small subunit ribosomal RNA
Source: RNAcentral
CGGGGCGGGGUGGAGUAAUGUCUGGGAAACUGCCUGAUGGAGGGGGAUAACUACUGGAAACGGUAGCUAAUACCGCAUAACGUCGCAAGACCAAAGAGGGGACCUUAGGGCCUCUUGCCAUCGGAUGUGCCCAGAUGGGAUUAGCUAGUAGGUGGGGUAACGGCUCACCUAGGCGACGAUCCCUAGCUGGUCUGAGAGGAUGACCAGCCACACUGGAACUGAGACACGGUCCAG